ACUGGUCCAACAUGGUGAAGAGAGAGCCGAGUCAAAAAGCGAAGCUCUCGAUUUACCAGUCGAUCUAUGUUCCCACUCUCAUCUAUGGUCAUGAGCUUUGGGUCAUGACCGAAAAAACGAGAUCACGCCUACAAGCGGCCAAAAUGGGUUUUCUCCGUAGGGUGUCUGGGCUCUCCCUUAGAGAUAGGGUAAGAAGCUUGGUCAUCCGGGAGGGACUCAGAGUAGAGCCACUGCUCCUUCACGUCGAGAGGAGCCAGCUGAGGUGAGGAUGCCUCCUGGUUGCCUCCUUGGGGAGGUGUUUCGGGCACAUCCCACCGGGAGGAGGCCCCGGGGAAGACCCAGGACACACUGGAGGGACCUUGUUUCUCGGCUGGCCUGGGAACACCUUGGGAUUCCCCCAGAAAAGCUGGAACAAGUGGCUGGGGAGAGGAAAGUCUGGGCCUCCCUUCUUAAGCUGCUAACCCUGCGACCUGACCCCGGCUAAGCGGAAGAAAAUGGAUGGAUGGUAUAUAAUGUUAGCAAACUUUACCAUCAAACAAGUGCUGUGAGCCAUUUACCUCAGAAGCUGGAGCUCAGAUCAAACCCUGUUUCAUUUGUAGG
Long non-coding RNA from Xiphophorus hellerii (green swordtail), 600 nucleotides. RefSeq lists it as uncharacterized. The transcript is spliced from 3 exons. NCBI's taxonomy places the organism in Eukaryota, Metazoa, Chordata, Actinopteri, Cyprinodontiformes, Poeciliidae. The record is from RefSeq and is a predicted model, not a curated record.